UAGGGAAUAUUAGUAAUGGGCGAAAGCCUGAACUAGCAACGCCGCGUGUGCGAAGAAGGCCUUCGGGUUGUAAAGCACUUUUUGAGAGGAUGAGGAAGGACGGUACUCUCAGAAUAAGUCUCGGCUAACUACGUGCCAGCAGCCGCGGUAACACGUAGGAGGCGAACGUUAUCCGGAUUUACUGGGCGUAAAGCGCGUGUAGGUGGUUUGGUAAGUAGGGCGUGAAAGCUCCUGGCUCAACUGGGAGAGGCCGUUCUAAACUGCCGAAAUAGAGGAUGGUAGAGGGAGGUGGAAUUUCGGGUGUAGCGGGGGAAUGCGCAGAUAACCGGAGGAACACCAGGUGCGAAAGCGGCCUCCUGGACCAUUCCUGACACUCAGACGCGAAAGCUAGGGUAGCAAACGG
Molecule: ribosomal RNA, 403 nt
Filed under: uncultured bacterium
Lineage: Bacteria
Description: bacterial SSU rRNA
Rfam family: Bacterial small subunit ribosomal RNA
Source: RNAcentral